Molecule: long non-coding RNA, 3050 nt
Organism: Dermochelys coriacea (leatherback sea turtle)
Lineage: Eukaryota; Metazoa; Chordata; Testudines; Dermochelyidae
Exons: 3
Source: RefSeq, a predicted model, not a curated record
GUCAUUAUCACAUUAGGCUUCUCAGUUCCCAGGGCCAUGAGGUGCCUGGGAGAGGGCACUGAUUCUCUAAAGCCAUAUCCUGAGUACCAGGCUUCCAGGCUAACCAGCAAGCAGAGGCUCACAGUCCAUCUGGGUUCCAGAGGCCCCCAAGGUUCCUUUUCCUCUCUCAGGGGUGUGGAAUCAGACAAGAAAGGGUUAAGUGUUUGGGGAGCAGCUGCACCUGGGGUUCCUUACCCUGCUGGGUAAACAGGUAUAAAAGGAGGAGGAAACUAGCCUGAGGGAGAAGGUGUGUGUUGGGAAGAAUAUUGGCCAUUCUAGUAGUAUUGCAAAAAUAACAAUCAAUACUAAAAUAUUAAUAAAAUGGGGGCUGUUUGUUCUAAGGCCCCAAACCUGCAGUUUUUUUUCCAGGCAAAUUAAACUCUGCUUCCUGACUCUGAGUCCUGUGUUUGGAGUGUACAUGCUGCCUCAGUGAGCUGGCAACCCCGAUUCUACAGCAUAACUUCUAGCAGGACCCUGUGUCUUGGCUUCUUCUGUGGCAGUAGGGAAUUCGAGUGCAGCUGAGGGCCAGGAGAUGCAGUGGUGAAGAGAGCCUGAAUCCCGCCUGUAGGGGGGCUGGGCGCUUUCAUGCCCCUCUUGUACAGGGGCACCCUAAGAGAUCUGCUCCACUGGGGCUGUGAGCCUCUUCCCCACUCAGGGACAGAAGGAUCCUUCGAGCUUGUGAAGUGUCCUCAAAAUACUUCAGAGGCGUUGAGGCAGCAGCUCCCUGUUAGUCACAGUUGGCAUGAGGGCUGUGUUCCAGAGCCCACUGCAGGACCUGAUGUUCCACAGAGCCAUGUGACAGGAGCUGCAAGGGCUGCCAGAACACGGUGCCCACUGCUGGGCAAGGACUGUGGGAUUGAAACUCCUCCAGCUGGCCCUACUCCUUUAGCUGUCUGCCUUGUCUAAAACUAAACAAACUUGCAGCCUGUGGAGGUGGUAGAUCAGCAUCAUUAUCCACAGGUGGGGGAAACUGAGGCAGAGGGAGAUGGUGGGUUUGUGGCAGGAUAGGGAACACAACCCUGCUCUGCUGAUAUCUAGGUGUUAAGGCAGUGCAGUGCAUGUCUACACAGCCCAUGGCAGCGAGCCCCCGAGCCUGGGUCGACGGACUAGGGCUUGUGCUAGCGUACGGGGAAAAUAGCCACGCAGACUUUGUAGCUUGGGCACUGAUGCCCCUACCUUGGCUUCAGACCUUCAGCGCCAGCCUACAUGGCCACCAUGAGCCUGAGUCUGCCAAUCUGAGCGUGGAGGCUCUGCUGCCUGCCAUGUAGACGUAACCUUCCAGAGUAGGUUGUUCCCAGAGCUGCACGUCACUGGACUGGAAGAUCUCUUUAGUAUGACAGGGAUGGGCAGCAUUAGAUUUAUAUCAUAAAGGUAAAUUUCACCCAGACAAACUGCUGGACAACAAACAUACAGCCAGGCAAAGUAAGAAAAAUGCAGCUUGAGAACUUAGGGUUGGCUUGAGGGAUACUUACUUUGUCUGUUUUGAUGUAUGAUGUUGACAGCUUGUGCUUUAAUGGUUAUGAAGCUUUACCUUUUUGAAUCUCUUUCCUCCACCCAUAACUUCCCACAGCUGUGAAAAUUUAAAUGAAAAUGGGGGGGGGGAGCUUAAUACAGUGAUUAUUAUUUGUAAAAAAAUUAAAGAAAAAAAAUCAAACCUGCUCCAGUCUAUAUAUGAUCAUGCUGGAGAUUAAACUAGGAUGAAUGGGAUGCAAUUGAACAAAGGGACUGUAAUGGAUAGGAAGAGGGCAGUACCCCUUGGAAUAACUCUAAACCUGUGAGUGGUGCUCUUUGUGUUUUGGAAGCAGCUGGCGCACCAGUCUGUACAUCGUUAGAUUGGGCAUGUUUGUAUGUAAAUGGUAAACAUGGUGACUACGUGGGAUUCAACUGUGCCCCUGUGAUUCCUUCAGGCUGUUGUGUAAAGAGCAAAAGGCCCAACAGGGAUAAUUUCAUCCGCACAGCAGGGAAGACUCCCCUACUGUGCGAUCUACUAGGCUGGGGUUUCCCAAGGGGAGGGAAUAUCUCUCUCUCUCACACACACACUCCCAUCCUUUGAUACUAUGUAAACUGGACCAGACAAAGCAGUGCAGAGCCUGCUGUAGGCAACAGCCCUGACUCUCUUGAGAGAGUGAGAAAGAGCUGGGCUAAGGAUUAGAGAAGAAAAUUGUACCUGGGGAGCCCUGGAUUGUGGAUGGAUUGUGCAUAUGGGUCAGGGGCUGUCCUGCCUGACAAGGGGCCACCUGUGCACUGGGGAUUAUAUUUACUCACCUUGAAGGUACAAAGGCCCAUUUCGGUGCCAAAUGCUAUUAGUAAUCCCUCUAAUGGGACUUCUCUGGGUCCAACAUCUGCAAAUCCAUGACUUUUACAUGUGAUUUAAGAUUAGAUGUUUUUAAGGACUUUUUUUAGCAUCAAAUUUUAAACAAUACAGAAAACCUGACAGUCUGUGUCUGAAGGGGGCUGCCAAGCUGCUGCGCAGUGGGGCCUAACAAGUGGGGUGCCAGUGCCUCCUCAGGUUUGAACGUUGAAGGGCUCAUCAGGUUUGGGGGGUACCAUGCAGCUUAGUGUCUGUGAGCCUGAGUUCCUCCCUCAAUAGCCUGGUUUCAGGGACAACUGAGGGCCACCGGGGGAGUCAAUGGGAAUUGUAUUUACUCACCAUCCCUGAAAACCUGCACUGCAUGGACCCUCUGGUCCUUGUUUGAAGGAACACUGGGAAUGAUUCAUCACGUUUGUCCCCAGUUUCCCAUUCCUGCCCUUGUCCUGAACCCCACUUGGUUGCCAUGCUCCAGCCCAUUUUUUGGGGUGCUGUAUGAGUUUGUCUAAGGGUUUGUAAGAGUCAACACCGCCUACGGCUUUGUAGCUGUCACUGUGCUGUGUACCCUGGCUAUGUUGAACUUCAUGAUGACAGCAGUUCUGCUCCUCUUACUUCAAAAGCUCAAGCUGCUGCAGAGGGAACUCCCCAUUCAGUGUUAACAUUAUAGGGCAUGUGACAUACACAAGCAAGGUUACUGCAAUAU